AUGGAAGAUCCACCCGUCCCAUACGGAGACUUGGGCUGUCCACAGGCCAGACAGGGUUUCGUCUGUCUCAUCUUCUGCUCUGGUCGCUGCUGCUGCUGCUCCAUCUCUAGAAUUCUCUGCACAAUUUUUUCAAUGGAAUCCUGCGUCAGAGGCGUGGGCAGGGCGGCUGUGAGGAGUGACAACAGCCGUCUCCAUGGUGACUACAGGAACGCUGGUUGUUUUGCUCCCCUCUGUCAAGGAGUACCACAGCUGUUGAGUCUCCAGGAGCUUCUCUGGGCUGGUGUUCAGAGAAGAACUGGUGUUCAACAGCUUUGCCAGAUGCUUCACAUAGCGGGAUAUGUGAAACCUGGUUGUGGGGCGGAGCAAGCUGUUCGGAUCGGCCGCAGACCGAUGGACCGUGUCUGCGUAGUCUGGAUCCACAAGCCUCAGGAUGUCCUUGUCCCCAUGAUGAUACUGCAGCAAACUAUCAAUAGCGUCUUUCAUGGGAAGAGUCCAGCGUGUGUGGUCCAAGACAAACACUCCACCACCAGUCUUCAUGGGUCCAGUGCGGGCGCUCCUCGGCGAGGACUUCAGCGGCAGGGGCAAAGCUCCAGAGACGUCUGGAACACAAACAAAGCAAUAAUCUGAAAAACCCGAUUAUCGUUGACCCGCCCACUGAUCUUUCAGGAUCCUGGUCGUCCUCUGCUGGAAUCUCCUUUACACGUCCAGCAGCAGAGAGAUGGAAGCUGACAGGUGGCGCAGGGGGAAGCGACGGCACAGCAGUCGCUGUUGCCCAGCUGGAGGAAGGUGUUGCGCCAGGAGCAUCGUCUGGAGCGGGAGGGGGCACAAGAGCCGAAGGCCGAUCCCUCUUCUGCAUUUUGUGUUUGUCCCAGUCCAGAGGGAGCGGAGGGCAGCCCGGUUCUCUGGACUCCAGCCCAAACCUUUCUCCAGUGUCUCUGUCAGAGAGGUGAACGCAGGGCACUUGUCUUGUCCCGUCACUGCCAUGGAAGCAGAGUUCAACUCCCACAUUGAGGCAGGGUCAAAGACAGCAGGGAGGACGGCGCCGGGCUUCUUCAUGUCUACCGGUCGCUGAAAGUUCCACCGCACAACGCCGGUCAUGGCCUGGGCCUGGAACAGUUCAGGGGAGACCUGCGUACCCGUGACCCACUGGGCCUGCUGGAAAUGGUAGCCCUCCUGCUGAGAUGUACCACGGACAGGGAUCCAGACGGGGACUUUGGCACCUUCGCCCGCUACGUGGUUUAGCUGAAGGGUCCCUCCGUCCCUGUCCAUUAUCCCCUCAGACAGUUCUGGGUCACUGAGGCAACCACGGAGGAUGUGAACCCUCUGAACGUGCCACGUCUUCAGCAUGGGUAGGGUUAGGGUUAGCAUGGAGCAUUUUUCAGUUUGAAUGACGGCAAACAAAGAAGAUGGCUGAUCUCACCUGUCCAUCCAGUGGUAGCCGGCCUUUCCCACCCCAGCGUGGCUGUACCUCUGGGCCAUUCCUUGCUACAUCGGAUGCAGGGACCUUUCUGUCUCAGCCUGAACCAUCACCCAGGACACAAUGAGCCAGUUCUCAUUCAUCACUGCGAAACUGGACAUGGCUCCAGAUGCCAGUGUCACCUUCCUCGCCAUCUUCCUCGUGUGGUCCCACCUGAAAACCUGCCCCAACGUGCCCUGGAGGAGCUUGGUCAGAGACGGCUGUUGACGCUUGAACUCAUCCAGCAGGCAGUCAGUCAGGUAGAAUCCGGACACAGACACCCCACCCCAACCUUCUUGGUCCUCGUAUGGCCCGAAAGCACGUGGCCGAUCUUCCAUCCUCACGUACUGGCCGAUGGUUCUCUGUCCGUACGCCCCAGCCUCGGCCUCCCUGACGUUCUGUAUGGCGUGCAGAUAUGCCAGGUGAGCUCAUUCACCUGGUUCGCCAUAUCGGUCGGUGACUUGCCAGAACGCCGCAGUUCAUCCAUUACCGACUUGCACACAGCCUUCUUGUAAGUCAGGUUAUGCACUGGUCAGGACCCAGGCCACAACCCAAGUUGUUGAAGCUCCGUCCUCAUCCACAGCUUUUGAUGUUGUGAGCAGAUCCACUUGCUCAUGUCGUGGUCAGGGACAGGCAUGGGAACAGGAGCUAUGGGAACUAGGAUAAAGUAAAGAAGACAGUUGAACAACAUAAAGUUAUCAUUACUGAAGAGACAAUUUCAGUGCCCCCGCCCUCACAUGAUAUAAACACACGAUACCAGGAAACAAACACGCGCCUCGGACACUUGGUUUCAUUCCAGAGCUCACACCUCAGAUUUUUUCCAUGUCAGUGACAAAGAAUCGUGUCAAUUUGAAUUACCCCGGGACACUUUAUUAUUGUUCAACACCCCACGGAAUGGGGGAAAUGUACAUGGUUUAACAUCCCACUCUUUUGGUCUUGGGUAGAGUCCGUCAAAGGAGGCACUCUGCCGUCAGAGGUCUGUGCCGUGCAAGAGUCAGGUCCUGAAAACAAGUGCAGACUUGCUAUUAAGAAAUUACAGUCACUUCACCUGAUGACAACAUGGAAAGAACAGUCAGCUGGACAUUACAGAGACAUCAGGUUGUUCAUCAGCCCUAAAUAAAAAGAAAAGGAAACUGUUUUUCAACGAAGCAGCAAAGAGAACAAAAACAAACACUUACCCUCCUCCUCAUAGUCAAUAUCAGUUCAUCAUUGCACGGAUCAAUUCAUAGUCCUCACGACGGUUAUUAUCACACCAACAUAUGAAGAGUAAUAUUAAAGGAACUCGGCCGGAACAUCAAGAACACAAAAAUAAUAAGAUAAGUUUCAGAUUUGGAGAGGAAUUCUUCAUGGAAAGGAACGGAACUCCAGCUCUGAAACCUAUUUUUCAGAAACCUGUCUUUGCUCCUGGUGGCACUCUCGGCAGGGCGGCUGCUGCUACUGGCAUAGCAUCUGCACACAGAUGAAAAGAAAAACAAUAGAAAUCAGAUACGGCAUGGACUUUGUUUGUCUGACAUGAAAUAAAUGUGGUAACGGUGUAUUUACAGCUCUGGACUUGCAGAUCAGAGUUAUGGAUGCUCAGCAUCUCCCUUUCCAUCUCCACGUCCUCCUCCAUGGCUGUGUUAAAGACAAAAAUACCGGCUACAGGUUAUUAGUAGAAAAGAAAAAAACCUUUUCCCAAAGUUGAACUUGUCACAUGAAGGAAUGAGCAUACCCAGGGGCUCAGCUGGGGCCUUCAUGGGAUGCUCAGCAGGUGUGGAAGAUGUGGUGGGCUGCUGCCUCUUCAGCAGGUUCUGCUGCAACCUGGACAUUCGUGUACCUGGAACGCAGCGCCUGCCUAUGACAAAAUCAGCAUAGCCAUCACCUCUGCUGUCCCAGAUCUCCUUCCACCUGCUCUUGGCUCGGGCACCAAAUCCAACCAGCUGGUCGUCUUCAGAUGAGGCAGUCACUCCAUCCCCUCUUCCGGCCUCAUAAGUGAGGAGAGCCUGGAUUUCUUGGAAACUGAGGGCAUAACUCACAAAUGACUGGAGGCUGUCCUUACUGUGGCUGUCAGCCAUACAGAGACCUGCUGCCUCCUCGCUCUGCACGUUCUUGAUCAGAUACACGGUGUAUCCUACGUCAUUCUGCAAAAGCCAUCUGAAUGACUUCCCUUUAUAUUUACCAAACUGCAGGACAUAGUCUCCCAGCACCUCCAUCUUAUCUGAGGGAUCCCCCCCUCUUUGUCGGAUGACGGCCAAAGCGUUCUGCCGUACGAGGUCCUCCCUCAUGGCCGCAGACUUGUCCUGAGGAGUGGAACUCACCCGUUUGGCUUCAUCAGAUGGCUCCUGGAGGAGAAACCCAAGAGGCCCCUUGAGGAACACGACCCGAAGUUUCCCAGGGAAAAAGGCAAAUUGCUUCUGCAUGUUGAGCUGACAUAAAGGAAAAAUGUCUAUUAAUUUUCUCAUUUUUAUUAGACACUGAUAAAACAGUUCCACCCAUUUUUCACAUCACACCUGAUAAAUGUGAUCAAAGGAAUCUUAGGCCAGUAAAAGAUAAAGUGUGGUACCAUGUGUAAAGCUCUGUGUGUGUGUGCGUGCGUGUGUGUGUGUGUGUGUGUGUGUGUGUGUGUGUUUGUGUGUGUGUGUCUGUGUGUGUGUGUGUGUGUGUCUGUGUUUGUGAGUGUGCGCACACAUGCAAUUAUCAUGUCGGUGUGAAAGUGUAAGAUCAAGGUUGUUGGGGUGUCGAUUCAGGAGUUCAGAAGGUCAGUACCUGGUGUGGCUAGUGAGGAAAAGACUGGAAAGUGAUGGUGUGUGUGUGUGUGUAGGUGUGUGCGUCUGUGUGUGUGUGUGAGAGAGAACAUGGUGGGGGGGGGCAGGAGGACAGUAUCCCCUCUCAAAGGC
Takifugu rubripes (torafugu) is the source of this 4332-nucleotide long non-coding RNA. The record is from Ensembl. Lineage: Eukaryota; Metazoa; Chordata; Actinopteri; Tetraodontiformes; Tetraodontidae.